UACAGAGGGUGCUAACGUUGUUCGGAAUCACUGGGCAUAAAGCGCACGUAGGCUGCACGCUAAGUGUGGAGUGAAAUCCCACGGCUUACCCGUGGAACUGCUUCGCAUACUGGCGAGCUCGAGGACAGUAGGGGAGAGCGGAACUCUUGGUGGAGCGGUGAAAUGCGUAGAUAUCAAGAGGAACACCGAUGGCGAAGGUAGCUCUCUGGUCUGUUUCUGACGCUGAGGUGCGAAAGAUAGGGUAGCAAACGGG
RNAcentral lists this ribosomal RNA (253 nucleotides) under uncultured bacterium. Its description in RNAcentral is "partial 16S ribosomal RNA". It matches the Rfam family "Bacterial small subunit ribosomal RNA", at positions 524 to 776 of the family's 1533-position model. The record is from RNAcentral.